UUGUGGAAUGAGCGGCGGACGGGUGAGUAACACGUCGGGCAACCUACCUUGUAGACUGGGAUAACUCCGGGAAACCGGAGCUAAUACGGGAUGAUCAUUUGAAUCGCAUGAUUGAAAUGUAAAAGUGGGGAGUAAUCCUCACACUAUGAGAUGGGCCCGCGGCGCAUUAGCUAGUUGGUAAGGUAAUGGCUUACCAAGGCAACGAUGCGUAGCCGACCUGAGAGGGUGAUCGGCCACACUGGAACUGAGACACGGUCCAGACUCCUACGGGAGGCAGCAGUAGGGAAUCAUCCGCAAUGGGCGAAAGCCUGACGGUGCAACGCCGCGUGAACGAUGAAGGUUUUCGGAUCGUAAAGUUCUGUUAUGAGGGAAGAACAAGUGCCGUUCGAAUAGGGCGGCACCUUGACGGUACCUCACGAGAAAGCCCCGGCUAACUACGUG
This 441-nucleotide ribosomal RNA is filed under the name uncultured bacterium. RNAcentral's name for it is "bacterial SSU rRNA". It matches the Rfam family "Bacterial small subunit ribosomal RNA", at positions 84 to 507 of the family's 1533-position model. The record is from RNAcentral.